AUGAACGCUGGCGGCGUGCCUAAUACAUGCAAGUCGAGCGAACAGACGAGGAGCUUGCUCCUCUGACGUUAGCGGCGGACGGGUGAGUAACACGUGGAUAACCUACCUAUAGGACUGGGAUAACUUCGGGAAACCGGAGCUAAUACCGGAUAAUAUAUUGAACCGCAUGGUUCAAUAGUGAAAGACGGUUUUGCUGUCACUUAUAGAUGGAUCCGCGCCGCAUUAGCUAGUUGGUAAGGUAACGGCUUACCAAGGCGACGAUGCGUAGCCGACCUGAGAGGGUGAUCGGCCACACUGGAACUGAGACACGGUCCAGACUCCUACGGGAGGCAGCAGUAGGGAAUCUUCCGCAAUGGGCGAAAGCCUGACGGAGCAACGCCGCGUGAGUGAUGAAGGUCUUCGGAUCGUAAAACUCUGUUAUUAGGGAAGAACAAAUGUGUAAGUAACUAUGCACGUCUUGACGGUACCUAAUCAGAAAGCCACGGCUAACUACGUG
RNAcentral lists this ribosomal RNA (496 nucleotides) under uncultured bacterium. Its description in RNAcentral is "partial 16S ribosomal RNA". It matches the Rfam family "Bacterial small subunit ribosomal RNA", at positions 29 to 507 of the family's 1533-position model. The record is from RNAcentral.